GCCCUCGUAGCUCAGGGGAUAGAGCACAGGAUUCCUAAUCCUGGUGUCGCACGUUCGAUUCGUGCCGGGGGCACCA
This 76-nucleotide transfer RNA is filed under the name Pseudomonadota bacterium. RNAcentral describes it as "Proteobacteria bacterium (marine sediment metagenome) tRNA-Arg". It matches the Rfam family "tRNA". From Rfam's summary of the family: Transfer RNA (tRNA) molecules are approximately 80 nucleotides in length. Their secondary structure includes four short double-helical elements and three loops (D, anti-codon, and T loops). Lineage: Bacteria; Pseudomonadati; Pseudomonadota. The record is from RNAcentral.